GAUGAACGCUGGCGGCAGGCUUAACACAUGCAAGUCGAGCGGGGAAGGGUAGCUUGCUACCUAACCUAGCGGCGGACGGGUGAGUAAUGCUUAGGAAUCUGCCUAUUAGUGGGGGACAACAUUCCGAAAGGAAUGCUAAUACCGCAUACGCCCUACGGGGGAAAGCAGGGGAUCUUCGGACCUCGCGCUAAUAGAUGAGCCUAAGUCAGAUUAGCUAGUUGGUGGGGUAAAGGCCUACCAAGGCGACGAUCUGUAGCGGGUCUGAGAGGAUGAUCCGCCACACUGGGACUGAGACACGGCCCAGACUCCUACGGGAGGCAGCAGUGGGGAAUAUUGGACAAUGGGCGGAAGCCUGAUCCAGCCAUGCCGCGUGUGUGAAGAAGGCCUUUUGGUUGUAAAGCACUUUAAGCGAGGAGGAGGCUACCUGGAUUAAUACUCUAGGAUAGUGGACGUUACUCGCAGAAUAAGCACCGGCUAACUCUGUGCCAGCAGCCGCGGUAA
This 501-nucleotide ribosomal RNA is filed under the name uncultured bacterium. RNAcentral describes it as "partial 16S ribosomal RNA". It matches the Rfam family "Bacterial small subunit ribosomal RNA", at positions 28 to 523 of the family's 1533-position model. The record is from RNAcentral.